RNAcentral lists this ribosomal RNA (433 nucleotides) under uncultured bacterium. RNAcentral's name for it is "partial 16S ribosomal RNA". It matches the Rfam family "Bacterial small subunit ribosomal RNA", at positions 29 to 507 of the family's 1533-position model. The record is from RNAcentral.
AACGAACGCUGGCGGCAUGCCUAACACAUGCAAGUCGAACGAGACCUUCGGGUCUAGUGGCGCACGGGUGCGUAACGCGUGGGAACCUGCCCUUAGGUUCGGAAUAACUCCCCGAAAGGGGUGCUAAUACCGGAUAAUGUCUUCGGACCAAAGAUUUAUCGCCUUUGGAUGGGCCCGCGUUGGAUUAGCUAGUUGGUAGGGUAAAAGCCUACCAAGGCGACGAUCCAUAGCUGGUCUGAGAGGAUGAUCAGCCACACUGGGACUGAGACACGGCCCAGACUCCUACGGGAGGCAGCAGUGGGGAAUAUUGGACAAUGGGCGAAAGCCUGAUCCAGCCAUGCCGGGUGAGUGAUGAAGGCCUUAGGGUUGUAAAGCUCUUUUACCCGGGAUGAUAAUGACAGUACCGGGAGAAUAAGCUCCGGCUAACUCCGUU